CAAUAGCGUAUAUUAAAGUUGUUGCGGUUAAAAAGCUCGUAGUUGGAUUUCUGCUGAGAACGACCGGUCCGCCCUUUGGGUGUGUAUCUGGCUCUUUCUUGGCAUCUUCUUGGUGAACGUUGCUGCACUUGACUGUGUGGAGCGCUACCCAGGACUUUUACUUUGAGGAAAUUAGAGUGUUUCAAGCAGGCAUACGCCUUGAAUACAUUAGCAUGGAAUAAUAAGAUAGGACCUCGGUUCUAUUUUGUUGGUUUCUAGAGCUGAGGUAAUGAUUAAUAGGGAUAGUCGGGGGCAUUCGUAUUUAACUGUCAGAGGUGAAAUUCUUGGAUUUGUUAAAGACGGACUACUGUGAAAGCAUUUGCCAAGGAUGUUUUCAUUGA
Molecule: ribosomal RNA, 380 nt
Filed under: uncultured eukaryote
Lineage: Eukaryota
Description: partial 18S ribosomal RNA
Rfam family: Eukaryotic small subunit ribosomal RNA
Source: RNAcentral